GGAGGCGUCGGGGCUGCGCCGUACAACUUCCGGCUGUAAAGAUGGCGGCUUCCUAGUGAGUCGGCGGCUGAUUUAGAAGGAGGUUCAGGCUACGGACGGACUCCGGCCGCUGGACCUGGCCCUGCAGCAGGGACACCUGGAGUGCGCGCGAGUCCUGCAGGAUCUCGACACGCGGACCAGGACCCGGACCCGGAUCGGGGCAGAGACUCAGGAGCCCGAGCCUGCACCUGGCA
RNAcentral lists this long non-coding RNA (233 nucleotides) under Homo sapiens (human). Its description in RNAcentral is "HSALNT0256543". The record is from RNAcentral. Lineage: Eukaryota; Metazoa; Chordata; Mammalia; Primates; Hominidae.